CCUACGGGAGGCAGCAGUAGGGAAUCUUCCGCAAUGGACGAAAGUCUGACGGAGCAACGCCGCGUGAGUGAAGAAGGUUUUCGGAUCGUAAAACUCUGUUGUCAGGGAAGAACAAGUACGGGAGUAACUGCCCGUACCUUGACGGUACCUGGCCAGAAAGCCACGGCUAACUACGUGCCAGCAGCCGCGGUAAUACGUAGGUGGCAAGCGUUGUCCGGAAUUAUUGGGCGUAAAGCGCGCGCAGGCGGCCUUUUAAGUCUGAUGUGAAAGCCCCCGGCUCAACCGGGGAGGGUCAUUGGAAACUGGAAGGCUUGAGUGCAGAAGAGAAGAGCGGAAUUCCACGUGUAGCGGUGAAAUGCGUAGAGAUGUGGAGGAACACCAGUGGCGAAGGCGGCUCUUUGGUCUGUAAACUGACGCUGAGGCGCGAAAAGCGUGGGGAGCAAACAGGAUUAGAUACCCUGGUAGUCCACGCCGUAAACGAUGAGUGCUAAAGUGUUGGGGGGUUUCCGCCCCUCAGUGNNNNACACACAUAAUANACNCCNCCUCGGAGGUACGGCCGGCCGACGACGNGAACGUAAAAGUAAAAGUAAGUAGACGNGAGAGAGCGACGACGACGACGAGGAGGAGGAG
This 630-nucleotide ribosomal RNA is filed under the name uncultured bacterium. RNAcentral's name for it is "bacterial SSU rRNA". The stretch from base 1 to 544 matches the Rfam family "Bacterial small subunit ribosomal RNA", at positions 338 to 873 of the family's 1533-position model. The record is from RNAcentral.